Molecule: long non-coding RNA, 1806 nt
Filed under: Triticum aestivum (bread wheat)
Lineage: Eukaryota; Viridiplantae; Streptophyta; Magnoliopsida; Poales; Poaceae
Description: long non-coding RNA (TAES_LNC019061)
Rfam family: MIR1120/MIR1122 microRNA precursor family (bases 1466-1552)
Source: RNAcentral
UGGACUUGAAGGCAUGAACACAUAGUAGAAAAAGAUAGCAGAAAAUGAAGGAAGUACAUAUAUCAAUUUCUGCGACUGAAUAUUAAUUUACAUCUGAAAUAUUAGUUGAGCAACAUUUCACAUUUGUUAGAAAAUCAGAGAAAAUUGUACAUCAUGCAUUCAUUAAUUCUCUAGUGCUGCCUAAAAACAAUUGAUUAGCUGCCAAUCUGACCAUCUCCUUCCUAUUUUCCGUCCUUUCCCCUGUUAUUGGUUCCAUCGGCUAAUCCGCGCAGCUGGCCGUGCAUCUGUGUUCUCCUCAGCCUGCUGUGUGUAAAUUAAUACCCGGCAAAUAAAGCUCUAUCUGUCGGCAUUGCGCUAUCUUUCUUAUACCAGGCAAAUACAACACUAAAUUUUAUUGAGCAAAGAAGGAACACGGUACUUCGGAACACUGCAAAUAUAUGCUUUGUUGAUGCAUCUACCAGUUGCAUGGCUUCAUCAAAUUUUGAUCUUGCAUGGUUCAACAAAAUCAAACAAUUAACUCGCAUGAACAUUAGUUCAGAGGGCGAUGAUGCUCUGUCAUUGGGAUCAGGACCUCACAUCUUAAUGAAAGGAAGCAGUUAUUAAGCAAGUCCAAAAUCUGAGUGAGCCUUAGGCAGUCAACCCCAUUGCAGAACCAUGUCUGAUAGAGAAACACUAACAACAUCUAACUAACAAAGAGUGACUUGACCCAUAUAUGUCUGCAAAUGCAGCUCACAUAUUACUACGCAAGAAAACAAAUCAAGUUGCUGCUGCUUCUUCACAUAAACGAUCAUAAAAUAAGAUGAGAAGGCAGACACAGCAAGCAGGAAGGCAGGACCUUCCAGCACAACUGUGAUUCCUUCAACAGUCACGUAGCGGUGUCCCUGGGGACGUACCUGCAGUCACCCAUAUUGUACUCCUUCUGUGGACACAAGAGAACAUACUUGUGUGAAGUUUAGGACUGCCAACCUAAAAAAUGAAGAAGGAACUUUGAGAUCUUUGAGACCUUUGCCUCUUUCAAGUAACAACAUGUGGUUCUUUUCUAAGAAAUCAGAGGAGACAAGGAAAUAAAAAAGAGAGUGAUGCAUGAGAUGUAACGAAGAUGCAAGAUGAUUAGACUCACCUGCUCAUUGUGGCCAAGGCUAAUCUGUGUUCCAUCCGUUAACACUGAAUGCACUUGAACAAUCCUUAGGAAUCCAUGUCUCAUGCAUCAUGCAGUCGAAACAACCUGGAAAGAGGAACUGGCUAUGAACAAAACUAAUUUAUAAGAAAGAUGCUACAGAAGAUCAAUCAACUGUCUAUUGAAUAGUGAUUUCUUUCUCUGUGAUCCUUGCAACAACAAAAAUGUUGACUUUACUCAUCAUCAUAGUAUAGCUUGGUCAGAAGCUACUUCGCCAACCAUCAUGACAAACUAAAACCAUCCGGGUCUGAUGAAAUCAAGGGUCAUUCUAACAUGGCAUUUUGUGUUAUAGUCCCUCUGUCCCAAAAUAUAAGAACGUUUUUAACACUACACUAGUGUGAAAAACGUUCUUAUAUUAUGGGACGGAGGGAGUAAUAUAUAAGACAAUAGCUGGAUAGCUUGACAAAUCAGGUCAAGUAAAGGUUUUGCGCCAGAGAACAAAAUAAAAUUUGUUGUGGCGAAAUCAGUAGCAAAGAAGCAAUAAGAAAACACAAAAAAUACAAGUAAUAUAUACGAUACAGUAAUAAAGUAUGUCAUGCAAAAUGCAGUAAACAAUUACAGCCCAUGCAGUUAUACCAGAUGAAAGUAGGAUAUCAAAAAAUACCUGACCAAAUGAAGCUCACACANNN